RNAcentral lists this ribosomal RNA (459 nucleotides) under uncultured bacterium. Its description in RNAcentral is "partial 16S ribosomal RNA". It matches the Rfam family "Bacterial small subunit ribosomal RNA", at positions 338 to 795 of the family's 1533-position model. The record is from RNAcentral.
CCUACGGGCGGCAGCAGUGAGGAAUAUUGGUCAAUGGGCGGGAGCCUGAACCAGCCAAGUCGCGUGAAGGAAGAAGGUACUUAGUAUUGUAAACUUCUUUUGUCGGGGAACAAAGGCGGAGACGCGUCUCCAGAUGAGUGUACCCGAAGAAAAAGCAUCGGCUAACUCCGUGCCAGCAGCCGCGGUAAUACGGAGGAUGCGAGCGUUAUCCGGAUUUAUUGGGUUUAAGGGGUGCGCAGGGGGGGGAUAAAGUCAGUGGUAAAAUGUUGGGGCUAAACCCCGGCCGGCCGUUGAAACUGGUUGUCGAGAGUUCGAGAGAGGUAGGCGGAAUUCGUGGUGUAGCGGUGAAAUGCAUAGAUAUCACGAAGAACUCCGAUUGCGAAGGCAGCAUACCGGCUCCAUACUGACGCUGAGGCACGAAAGCGUGGGGAUCGAACAGGAUUAGAUACCCUUGUAGUC